RNAcentral lists this ribosomal RNA (340 nucleotides) under uncultured bacterium. Its description in RNAcentral is "partial 16S ribosomal RNA". It matches the Rfam family "Bacterial small subunit ribosomal RNA", at positions 338 to 675 of the family's 1533-position model. The record is from RNAcentral.
CCUACGGGUGGCAUCAGUGAGGAAUAUUGGUCAAUGGACGAGAGUCUGAACCAGCCAAGUAGCGUGAAGGAUGACUGCCCUAUGGGUUGUAAACUUCUUUUAUAUGGGAAUAAAAUGUUCCACGUGUGGGAUUUUGUAUGUACCAUAUGAAUAAGGAUCGGCUAACUCCUUGCCAGCAGCCGCGGUAAUACGGAGGAUCCGAGCGUUAUCCGGUUUUAUUGGGGUGAAAGGGGGCGUAGGUGGAUUUUUAAGUCAGUGGUGAAAGUUUGCGGCUCAACCGUAAAAUUGCAGUUGAAACUGGCAGCAUUAGUUAAGGUAGAGGUGGGCGGAAUCGGUGGGG